UUCCUCACACAUACAAGUCGAACGGUAACGCGGGGGCAACCCUGGGGACGAGUGGCGGACGGGUGAGUAAUACUUAGGAAUCUGCCUAGUAGUGGGGGACAACCCGAGGAAACUCGGGCUAAUACCGCAUACGACCUACGGGAGAAAGCGGGGGACCGUAAGGCCUCGCGCUAUUGGAGGAGCCUAGGUCCGAUUAGCUUGUUGGGGGGGUAAUGGCCCACCAAGGCGACGAUCGGUAGCUGGUUUGAGAGGAUGAUCAGCCACACUGGGACUGAGACCCGGCCCAGACUCCUACGGGAGGCAGCAGUGGGGAAUAUUGGACAAUGGGCGCAAGCCUGAUCCAGCAAUGCCGCGUGUGUGAAGAAGGCCUGCGGGUUGUAAAGCUC
Molecule: ribosomal RNA, 386 nt
Filed under: uncultured organism
Description: bacterial SSU rRNA
Rfam family: Bacterial small subunit ribosomal RNA
Source: RNAcentral